UCUGUGUGUGUGCAACAGUGGUUUCCCAGUGUGGCUGCAUUUUGUACCUGGGAUUAAGUUUCGAACUGAUAAUGAGCCAUUUAAGGCGGAAAUGCAGAGAUUUACCACUAAGAUUGUUGAUUUGAUGAAGCAAGAAAAGCUUUAUGCAUCACAAGGAGGUCCAAUCAUUCUCUCUCAGAUUGAGAAUGAAUACGGGAAUAUUGAUUCAGCGUAUGGUGCUGCUGCGAAAAGUUAUAUCAAGUGGUCUGCUUC
Non-coding RNA from Camelina sativa (false flax), 252 nucleotides. The record is from RefSeq and is a predicted model, not a curated record. NCBI's taxonomy places the organism in Eukaryota, Viridiplantae, Streptophyta, Magnoliopsida, Brassicales, Brassicaceae.